UACAGAGGUCUCAAGCGUUGUUCGGAUUCAUUGGGCGUAAAGGGUGCGUAGGCGGCUCGGUAAGUCGGGUGUGAAAUCUCGGGGCUUAACUCCGAAACUGCAUUCGAUACUGCCGUGCUUGAGGACUGGAGAGGAGACUGGAAUUUACGGUGUAGCGGUGAAAUGCGUAGAUAUCGUAAGGAAGACCAGUGGCGAAGGCGGGUCUCUGGACAGUUCCUGACGCUGAGGCACGAAGGCCAGGGGAGCAAACGGG
Molecule: ribosomal RNA, 253 nt
Filed under: uncultured bacterium
Lineage: Bacteria
Description: partial 16S ribosomal RNA
Rfam family: Bacterial small subunit ribosomal RNA
Source: RNAcentral